Molecule: ribosomal RNA, 300 nt
Filed under: uncultured bacterium
Lineage: Bacteria
Description: bacterial SSU rRNA
Rfam family: Bacterial small subunit ribosomal RNA
Source: RNAcentral
GUGAAUGCCAUGACGCAGCCGGCGGUAAUCAGGUGGGUUCAAGGUUUGUUCGGAAUUACGGGGAGUAAAGGGCUCGUAGGUAGCCAUGUAAAUCAGACGUGAAAUCCCGCGGCUCAACCUGGGAACUGCGUCCGAUACUGCACUGCUAGAGUUUGGGAGAGGGACGCAGAAUUUCCGGUGUAGCGGUGAAAUGCGUAGAUAUCUGGAGGAAUACCAACGGCGAAGGCGGCGCACUGGACAAUCACUGACACUGAUGAGCGAAAGCCAGGGGAGCAAACGGGAUUAGAUACCCCGGUAGUC